UCGUGUCUCAUACAAUAAAUAAAAUUCGGAACGUGAUGCCUGGACAGGAGAGCCACAGAGGCGGAGCAGGGGAACGGUGACGAGCAGCCAGGACCCAAGUGCAGCUGUCCUGCCUCCCAGGCCGAGUACCUUCCCGUCUGGGUUUGAUGCUGCUGUUUGAGUUUGUUCUAUUUCAUUUUUCUGCACUUCUUUAAUAUUUCUCUGUCUUCUGGCUUUGCAAGCUAGGUGUGGUGGCACACACCGGUGAUCCCAGCCCUCUGGGGUGCCGUCAGGAAGAGGAUCACAAGUUCAAGCCUAGCCUGGUCAAAUUAGCAACUCAGUGACACCCUGUCUCAAAUUUUUUAAAAGGAAGAGGACUGGGGAUGUAGUUCAGUGUGAAAGAUCCUGGGUUCAGUCCCCCUACAAUAUGUGUGUGUGUGUGUGUGUGUGUGUGUGUUUAUAUUCUCCUAAGAUCUUUUCUAAAUUCAUCAGUGGCAAAGAACGCAGGCCGCAGAAUUGCCUCUCACUGCUUUCCCUCUUAGGCUGCGGCCUUCACUCAAGCUGCUCCCAGGUGAGCUCCCUUAAGAUUCGGAGGGUUUAAAUGUAGGCACGAAGGCUCUGCAGUGUGCAUUUGCUGGGUGGGGCAUGGAGGCUGCUGGGUGAUGGCAGAGAUCAGAGAGCCACUCUGUCAAGACAGCCCUCCAAGGAGGAGCAAGGAUCUCUGCCUCCAGCUUCUACUGAACCAUCUGGCCUAAAAUCUCUUUCCUUGAGAAUAUGAACAAGCUCUCCUUGAGAAAUGUCACGUCAUGGGCAGCACAGAGAACAUGGUCCUUCAAAUAUUCCUAUCCGGCCAUGCACCACGUGAUAAUGUUUUGUUCAAUGACAGACCACGUAUACACAUGGCGCCCUAAGGUUCUAUCACCUAUGAUGUGUAACCAUCUUGGUUUAUGCAAGUACACUCUGCAGGGCCUGCCCAGCAACCACCAAAUCACCUUAGACAUAUUUCUCGGGACAUACCCUGGCUUUAGACAAUGCCCAGCUGUACAUGUGCCGUGAAGGCCAGAGUACCUGCCUCACAUACUCGCCAGGACCGUGGUGAGAGAGAGACAGGAAAAGCCAAGCAAAGAUCUGCCUGCAAAUCAACACCAGAGACAAUGCCAAGCUGAAGGCUGAGGGGGUCACUACUCGGGGCCGAGCCCCUGGGGACGGUGGGGCCUCUUCGGAGCCUGGAGACCUCUAUGACAUCCACACCCCCCAGCCCAGCCCCGCCGGCUGCCCCAUUACAAGUCUGAAACCUACCGAAAUGCUCCUGCUGAGCCUCUUUUUAAUUAAGCACACACACAAAAAGAAGCACCCCUGGGUUUUGUCUGUUCUACUUUUGUUCCCGGGUCUGUUUGUACUUAUUCAGAAAUUACAUAAUUAAAAAAAUAAUAUUAAGUAAGUGGGCACAUCAGCCCGUCAAGCCGCCUGGGCCAACCUUCACCAGGGAAACACAGCGACAGCCCCUUCAAUUCUUCUCCUUGUUUUUAAGCACAAAAUAUGUCACACCUGGAAGUAAUUAGCAUAAUUUUUACUAAUUUAUAUCUAAUUACACAAUUACUUUUCUACGAA
Molecule: long non-coding RNA, 1590 nt
Filed under: Fukomys damarensis (Damara mole-rat)
Lineage: Eukaryota; Metazoa; Chordata; Mammalia; Rodentia; Bathyergidae
Description: lncRNA (ENSFDAG00000033274.1)
Source: RNAcentral